RNAcentral lists this ribosomal RNA (497 nucleotides) under uncultured bacterium. Its description in RNAcentral is "partial 16S ribosomal RNA". It matches the Rfam family "Bacterial small subunit ribosomal RNA", at positions 28 to 507 of the family's 1533-position model. The record is from RNAcentral.
GAUGAACGCUGGCGGCGUGCCUAAUACAUGCAAGUCGAGCGAACAGACGAGGAGCUUUCUCCGCUGACGUUAGCGGCGGACGGGUGAUUAACACGUGUAUAACAUACCUAUAAGACUGGGAUAAUUUCGGGAAACCUGAGCUAAUACGGGAUAAUAUAUUGAACCUCACGGUUCAAGAGUGUAAUAAGCUUUUGCUUGCACUUAUAGAUGGAUCCGCGCCGCAUUAGCUAGUUGGUGAGGUAACUGAUUACCAAGGCAACGAUGCGGAGCCGACCUGAGAGCGUGGAUCACCACCCUGUCUGUGAGACACGGCCCAGACACCUACACGAGGACACGGUAGGGAAUCCUACGCAAUGGGGGAGUGCCGGACGGAGCAAAGCGGCGUAAGUCAUGACGCUCUUCGGCUCCUAAAACUCUGUUAUUAGGAGAGAAGAAAUGUGUAAGUAACUAUGAACGUAUUGACGGUACCUAAUCAGAAAGCCACGGCUAACUACGUG